Non-coding RNA from Salmo salar (Atlantic salmon), 3216 nucleotides. NCBI's taxonomy places the organism in Eukaryota, Metazoa, Chordata, Actinopteri, Salmoniformes, Salmonidae. The record is from RefSeq and is a predicted model, not a curated record.
ACUUUACCCCUACCUACAUGUACAAUUUACAUUGACUAACCUGUACCUUCGCCCCGCACCUUGACUCGGUACACCCUGUAUAUAGUCUCGUUAUUGUUAUGCAAUUGUAGUGUUACUUUUUAUUUAAUACUUCAUUUAGUAAAUAUAAAACGAUGCGUGUUAAUGUUCAGACCGAGCGAUGAGCUCUUAACAAAAACACUCCCAUACAGAAAAUAAUCUUCUUCCAAUGAUUUAUGUGCAAUGUAAUGUAACUAAUGGGACAGAGAGUAAUGAUCAGGGCAAGUUAGAUCUCAACUAUGUUAACGUUAUGUCGCUAGCUAGCUACUUCAUCAUUUGGAUCAGAUAUCUACACAAAAACAAAAAGCCGUUAAAUGCAUAUACUCUGCAAUCUUGCAAAUGAACGUUGCCUUGACAGAUUGACUUGUUGGCACACUUCUUAUCCGGGUUUGGGUCCGGUGUAAUAAGAUAACUCGACCUGGUGGAAUACGACACUUACUUCAUAGAGCGCUCCGUAAGCCGCGCCCCAGUGUUGGACUGGGACUCGUUUUAAUAGGCUAAAAAGCCUCUCAUUUUACCGUGGGUCCGCGAUGGUUCUGUGUAGCCUAGUUGUGCUAAUAUAUUUGAGACCAGUGUAUUGCAGUUCAUUUCUUCUUUGAAUUAAUAAGUAAAAUAUAUUUGAGUAGUAAACAGGGAAACAACGAGUCCCAGACACUUCGCAAAAUAGAACAUACCAGAGGGGGCAUCGUUAACUAGGCUACGUAAAUUAUUGGGAUCAUCUGGUUACCACAAGGAUUCCUAAAUCAUUGCUAAGAAUAAUGAAAAUGACUGCAGUUUCUACUGGUCAUUGUUUUCAGGCUGGUUGAAUUGUUGCUAGCUAGGUACCCCAGAAGUUGCGGUCGAACAAAUAAGGCCUUAUUACCAACGCGGUAUUGUAAACACAUCGUUCGUGGCCGGUGUUUUGCUUACUUUUUUGUACAGCUUUGACAGUGCUACUGAUAGUGGUGGCGCUUGGCUUGCACGUGCGAAUACAGAGCACACAUAUGAAAGGCCAAAAGGUUCAAAUUGUCUUAACACUUGUAAUUAUCAUUUUUCACUUGCUUUUUUCAAGUGUCAAAUGUCACUUUUAUGUACACGUGAUUUUCCACCUGUCCAGUAUGGAGAAGGCCAAGAGUUUCAAAUCGUCUUGAUUUGAAAGCUUGUUAUGGGCAUUUUUACACACGUUCAUUACACCUGUUCAGUGUGUAUUUACGGGUGAUUGGAACGUUUUGAAUAUUGUACUUUCAGACGCAUGAAAUUGUGCCACUGCACACGUUCUGAAUGCCUGUGUAGUAACUGGUACGUUUCAUGCUUAUGAAAGUACCACAUUGUAAGCCCCUCCCACCUCAAUUUCCAUGGGUUUGACUUUUUUCGACUUCUGGCCUGUUGCGAUGAAUCGCUUACUCAGGGAGGGAGAUGUUUGUAAAUGUGGAUCAAAUUGUUACAAUUAGUCAAUUACAUUUACAGAACGUAAACGCUACAGCAAGGCGUUGGUGAGAAAAAUGGAGGAAGAAAUUAAAACUAAUUUUUCCACAUAGCAUUACAACUACAAAAUGUUCAUUGAAAUAGCAUGGCUAGUUAGCUAGCAAUAGUCUUCUGUCUAACCUGUAACUAAUGGUUGUUACGUUGUGGAACAGAGCAACAGUUCUUUGUACUUGUCAUUUGGUUGAGACUAAUAUUAGUUUAGAAAAUAAUUGUUUACUUUGUUAUUAUUUGUUGUGUAAUUGGUUGGCUUUGCUAGUUAGCAAGCUGAGAUUUGUGUGCUAAAGUUGGCCAAUUUAGCUAAUGUUUUAGAACAGGCUAGCUCCCUGCAGAAUAUAGACAAUAGAGAAUGGGGAAUAAGAUCUGGCUGUUGCAGUGCCUAGACGAGGUGAGAGCAAACUGCUACAAAGAUAAAAAGCCACAACAUGAUGAUCAUGUAGUCAAGCAUAUGAAGACGAGCGAGGAGGAGAAAAGCCUGCUUUGGAAGAGCAAGCUAGAACAACAACCAGCUAUAUCAGAUAAACAUGUUCAGGAAAAGCAGGGAGAGGGCAAGCUAGUAGUAGUAACAUUAUUAUUUGAAACCUCACAUGCUCAUAAUCUGUAUGUGUUAUAUUUAAGCAAUAAGGCACCUCAGGGGUUUGUUGUAUAUCAACAAUAUGCCACGGCUAAGGGCUGUUCUUAGCACAAUGCAACACGCAGUGCAUGGAUACAGCCCUUAGCCGUGGUAUAUUGGCCAUAUACCACAAACCCCCAAGGUGCCUUAUUGCUAUUCAAAAUAAUUGCUGUUGCUAUUACCACAGUAAAUAAGUAAUAUUGACUCAUACCCGUGGUAUACGGUCUGAUAUACCAUGGCUUGCUAUCUUUCUCAUGUUGUAUCGAUCAUCAACAUGAACAAGACUGAAUUCUGUUGAAUUGUCAACUAGUCUAAAUUCUUAUUAGGAAGAUGUUGCUGUUCAGAAUGACAUGUUUAUGACUGUUGAUGUUCACAGGAAUCUCCAAAUGCUAUGUUGAACGAGCAACAUGGAUGAAGGAGGGGGAGGAAAACAGACAGCCUUCAACAAGUCAUAAAAUGUUUGCUUCAUGAAUAAUUGUUACAUCAGAAAUAAUACAGAAUUGUUUUAGUUUAUUCUGUUUCUAAUGUAUUUUACCUGGAUGUGAGUAAUUUAGCAGGUCUAUAGUAUAAUGUAUUGUUUUGAAAUGUUUAUUAAAUAUCUGUUCAGUCAAAACUCACUUAUUAUUUUAUGUUUGCUAAAAUAAUGUGUUUUGUACUGUUACUUUUUACAUACUGAAACAGUCUCAUUCCUUUUGAGCUAGACUAUGAUCGUGGAAAUGUCUACUACCUUUUUUUAAAUGUUGAUGAAAUCAGCACCGUUUUUUAAUAGUUUGUUGCUACUGUCUAGUGAGGAAGUGGACAAUAUGGAAUACAUUGGAGGAGGAAGGGAGAAUUAAUGAGAAAUCAGAACUUGGACAAUGUCAGGGAAUAAGUAGGUAAAUGUACAGCCUAUCAAUGACAAAAGAAACGGUGCAGAGGUAGCCUUAAGAUGACAUUAGAUAUUUGCAUGUUAUGUACUGGACAGACGGCUAGCCAGCUAUUCUCAAAACAUUGAUUACCAAUUUGAGCUGUGACGUCUCAGUUUGCAUGUAAAGUGUUGGUCUCAUGUUUCAUGAGCUGAAAUAAAAGAUGUCAGACAUUUUCCA